UAUCUCCUCAAUUUUUUCUAG
This 21-nucleotide non-coding RNA is filed under the name Caenorhabditis elegans. Lineage: Eukaryota; Metazoa; Nematoda; Chromadorea; Rhabditida; Rhabditidae. The record is from RNAcentral.